This 776-nucleotide ribosomal RNA is filed under the name uncultured Neocallimastigales. Its description in RNAcentral is "partial large subunit ribosomal RNA". It matches the Rfam family "Eukaryotic large subunit ribosomal RNA", at positions 19 to 616 of the family's 3401-position model. The record is from RNAcentral. Lineage: Eukaryota; Fungi; Neocallimastigomycota; Neocallimastigomycetes; Neocallimastigales.
CGAGCACGCGCGUGUGGCAUAUCAAUAAGCGGAGGAAAAGAAACUAACAAGGAUUCCCUUAGUAACGGCGAGUGAAGCGGGAAGAGCUCAAAUUUGAAAUCUUCAAGGUUUUACCUUGACGAAUUGUAGUUUAAAGAAGUGUUUUCUGUUGAAGUUUCGGUAAAAGUUCUUUGGAAUAGGACAUCAUAGAGGGUGAGAAUCCCGUAUUUGACCGUUAUUUUCAGCUGUGUGAUACACUUUCAAAGAGUCGGAUUGUUUGGGAAUGCAGUCCAAAAUGGGUGGUAAAUUUCAUCUAAAGCUAAAUAUUGGCGAGAGACCGAUAGCGAACAAGUACCGUGAGGGAAAGAUGAAAAGAACUUUGAAAAGAGAGUUAAACAGUACGUGAAAUUGUCAAAAGGGAAGCGUUUGACACCAGUGUUGUUUUCUCGAAAAUCAAUUCAUGAUGGCUUGAUGCUAGGUUGUUAUGACUUUAUCAGCAUACUGUCUAGUUUUCUUGUCUUUGUGAAUGCACUUUUCGUUUAACAAGUCAACAUCAAUUUCUUUUGUUGUAAAAGGGUAAGAGGAAGGUGGCUUGCAGCUUCGGCUGCAAGUGUUUAUAGCCUUUUAUCCUCUGCAGUCGGAGAGAUUGAGGUCUGCAGCGUAGACUCUUCGGGGUUAGAUACAUUGGUGCUAAGCUAUAGCCUUGUAUAGACAACUUGUUGACUAUGUUAGUCUUGUAGCUUACUCGCUUAUGCUAUUUUACCUACGCUUAGGAUGUUGAGCGCAUGUCUCUCUCU